This is a long non-coding RNA of Siniperca chuatsi (mandarin fish), 1146 nucleotides long. RefSeq lists it as uncharacterized. The transcript has 3 exons. Lineage: Eukaryota; Metazoa; Chordata; Actinopteri; Centrarchiformes; Sinipercidae. The record is from RefSeq and is a predicted model, not a curated record.
UAGGGUCAGAUUAGGCUAUGGUUAGGGGUCAGAUUAGGCUAUGGUUAGGGGUCAGAUUAGGCUAUGGUUAGGGGUCAGAUUAGGCUAUGGUUAGGGGUCAGAUUAGGCUAUGGUUAGGGGUCAGAUUAGGCUAUGGUUUGGGGUCAGAUUAGGUUAUGGUUAGGGGUCAGAUUAGGCUAUGGUUUGGGGUCAGAUUAGGCUAUGGUUUGGGGUCAGAUUAGGUUAUGGUUAGGGGUCAGAUUAGGCUAUGGUUUGGGGUCAGAUUAGGUUAGGAUUUAGAUUAGGUUAUGGUUAGGGGUCAGAUUAGGCUAUGGUUAGGGGUCAGAUUAGGCUAUGGUUAGGGGUCAGAUUAGGUUAUGGUUAGGGGUCAGAUUAGGCUAUGGUUAGGGGUCAGAUUAGGUUAUGGUUAGGGGUCAGAUUAGGCUAUGGUUAGGGGUCAGAUUAGGCUAUGGUUAGGGGUCAGAUUAGGCUAUGGUUUGGGGUCAGAUUAGGUUAUGGUUAGGGGUCAGAUUAGGCUAUGGUUAGGGGUCAGAUUAGGUUAUGGUUAGGGGUCAGAUUAGGCUAUGGUUAGGGGUCAGAUUAGGCUAUGGUUUGGGGUCAGAUUAGGUUAUGGUUAGGGGUCAGAUUAGGUUAGGAUUUAGAUUAGGUUAUGGUUAGGGGUCAGAUUAGGUUAGGAUUUAGAUUAGGUUAUGGUUAGGGGUCAGAUUAGGCUAUGGUUUGGGGUCAGAUUAGGUUAUGGUUAGGGGUCAGAUUAGGCUAUGGUUUGGGGUCAGAUUAGGUUAUGGUUAGGGGUCAGAUUAGGCUAUGGUUUGGGGUCAGAUUAGGUUAUGGUUAGGGGUCAGAUUAGGCUAUGGUUUGGGGUCAGAUUAGGUUAUGGUUAGGGGUCAGAUUAGGCUAUGGUUUGGGGUCAGAUUAGGUUAGGAUUUAGAUUAGGUUAUGGUUAGGGGUCAGAUUAGGUUAGGAUUUAGAUUAGGUUAUGGUUAGGGGUCAGAUUAGGCUAUGGUUUGGGGUCAGAUUAGGCUAUGGUUUGGGGUCAGAUUAGGUUAUGGUUAGGGGUCAGAUUAGGCUAUGGUUUGGGGUCAGAUUAGGUUAGGAUUUAGAUUAGGUUAUGGUUAGGGGUCAGAUUAGGCUAUGGUUAGGGGUCAG